UACAGAGGGUGCGAGCGUUAAUCGGAAUUACUGGGCGUAAAGGGCGCGUAGGCGGUUGUAUAAGUUAGAUGUGAAAUCCCCGGGCUUAACCUGGGAAUGGCAUUUAAUACUGUAUGACUAGAGUAGAGUAGAGGGAAGUGGAAUUUCCGGUGUAGCGGUGAAAUGCGUAGAUAUCGGAAAGAACACCAGUGGCGAAGGCGGCUUCCUGGACUCAUACUGACGUUGAGGCGCGAAAGCGUGGGUAGCAAACAGGAUUAGAUACCCUGGUAGUCCAUGCUGUAAACGAUGAAGACUGGAUGUUGGAGGGUUAAACUCUUCAGUAUCGAAGCUAACGCGAUAAGUCUUCCGCCUGGGGAGUACGGCCGCAAGGCUAAAACUCAAAGGAAUUGACGGGGGCCCGCACAAGCGGUGGAGCAUGUGGUUUAAUUCGAUGCAACGCGAAGAACCUUACCUACUCUUGACAUCCUAUGAAUCCCAGAGAGAUUUGGGAGUGCCGAAAGGAGCAUAGAGACAGGUGCUGCAUGGCUGUCGCCAGCUCGUGUCGUGAGAUGUUGGGUUAAGUCCCGUAACGAGCGCAACCCUUAUCCUUAGUUGCCAACACGUAAUGGUGGGAACUCUAAGGAGACUGCCGGUGAUAAACCGGAGGAAGGUGGGGAUGAGGUCAAGUCAUCAUGGCCUUUAUGAGUAGGGCCACACACGUGCUACAAUGGGCAGUACAGAGGGAAGCCAACCCGCGAGGGGGAGCAAAACUCAGAAAGCUGUUCGUAGUCCGGAUUGGAGUCUGGAACUCGACUCCAUGAAGUCGGAAUCGCUAGUAAUCGCGGAUCAGAACGCCGCGGUGAAUACGUUCCCGGGCCU
RNAcentral lists this ribosomal RNA (858 nucleotides) under uncultured bacterium. Its description in RNAcentral is "SSU rRNA". It matches the Rfam family "Bacterial small subunit ribosomal RNA", at positions 524 to 1381 of the family's 1533-position model. The record is from RNAcentral.